GUUAUCUAUAGAUAAUCUAUUUACACAAUGAGCUCAAUAUGGAUUGAUUCCAUUAAACCAUGAUUCCUGAACUUAGUAUAAGAAAGGUUUAGAUUAUUCCAACCAUUCCCAUCCUUGGCUGAAUACAAAUGAUUAUAAAAAAUUCGUGUGUUCUUUUCUUUCCAAAGCAUCCAACACAGAAAUAGAAGCAACGAACUGAAUGCCUUCCUAAACCUUAUGAUUGCACACUUCCUCCUUGGGAUUGAUAUUGCAGUCCAUCCAUGUCUCCUGACAUCUCUCAUGCCAAACCAAUAUGAGUUUGGCCGAUAAACGUGCUAAUUAGCAGAUACUACAAAAAGAGAAGGAAGAGGAAGAGGAAGAGGAAGAGGAAGAAGGCAAGCAGCAUGCAUGAUGCAUUCUCCCAGUGAGGCAUUGUAGGAGAUGAGG
RNAcentral lists this long non-coding RNA (426 nucleotides) under Oryza brachyantha (malo sina). RNAcentral's name for it is "long non-coding RNA (OBRA_LNC001891)". Lineage: Eukaryota; Viridiplantae; Streptophyta; Magnoliopsida; Poales; Poaceae. The record is from RNAcentral.